AGCACAGGAAAAAUCUUCGUGAGAUGAGUAUAAACCUUGUAAAGAGCUUGUAGAGCUUUUCUUUCGUUACGUAAGUAAGCAGAAAGGGCCGAGAAAUUGUAAUGCAGCUGUAUAAAUUGCGUGUUAGGACAUGCGCAGUUGGUGAGAUGUACAUUUGGGUGUUGUGUGGAUAGUAGCGGUUCUGAGGGAGCAUUUUGGGGAACUGUGAACUUACCCGGGUCUGUUUACUUCAUGUAAUACUUCAUGUAGUGUUUGUGAAAUUAGCACUAUAUAUUAAAUAUUUUACGUUGAAAUUGUUAUAUAUCGUGUUGGUGCGUAAAGGUGCAGUGAAAGGGGAAUUAUGGAGUAAUAUGACGUUAAAAGGUAAAGUAUUUGUGGAUUUGGUUUUAAAAAUAGGUUGCCAUUGGGGAGAGGGGGGGAAGGGUUGUAUGGGGUAAAUGAGCUGUGAUCAAGGGUAAUCAAGGGAUCAGGGGUAAAUGAGCUGUGAUCAAGGGCCUGAAUGUUAUAAUUGGAUGUGUGUUAGUAGCUUGAUGUAAAACAGUCCUGUGUAACUGAAUGUUUAUACUGAUUCACGUAGUAUGCACAUAUAGUUACCUCUACCCGGCUAAGCUAGAGACACUGACCCACAGAUCAUCAAAGAGAC
Paramuricea clavata is the source of this 643-nucleotide non-coding RNA. Lineage: Eukaryota; Metazoa; Cnidaria; Anthozoa; Malacalcyonacea; Plexauridae. The record is from the annotation of a GenBank genome assembly.